RNAcentral lists this transfer RNA (79 nucleotides) under Ipomoea nil (Japanese morning glory). It matches the Rfam family "tRNA". From Rfam's summary of the family: Transfer RNA (tRNA) molecules are approximately 80 nucleotides in length. Their secondary structure includes four short double-helical elements and three loops (D, anti-codon, and T loops). Lineage: Eukaryota; Viridiplantae; Streptophyta; Magnoliopsida; Solanales; Convolvulaceae. The record is from Rfam by way of RNAcentral.
GACGGUUUGGCCGAGUGGUCUAAGGCGCCAGAUUUAGGCUCUGUUCGAAAGGGUGUGGGUUCAAAUCCCACAGCCGUCA